RNAcentral lists this long non-coding RNA (405 nucleotides) under Homo sapiens (human). RNAcentral describes it as "HSALNT0309340". The record is from RNAcentral. Lineage: Eukaryota; Metazoa; Chordata; Mammalia; Primates; Hominidae.
GUUGCUCCUCUGGCAUUGGUCUGAAAUGGGUUUGUAGAAGAUGCCACAGAAGGACCAGCAGCAGCAACAAAUGGAUUUGUGGAAGGCGUAGCUUUAAAAAAUUAUAAAAUACACUAUAAAAUCCUAAUACAUUUUGUAUUUAAGAUUUAAAUUAUUUCACUAUAUUUAUCAAGACAGAAAACUCAAGGAUUCUGAUAACAAAUCAUUGCUUUGACUCCUAAGAAAAUGCUACACAAUAUAUAUUUGGGUUCUUUGUAAAAACCAGUGUAUAUACCAGAAGCACAUACCUCCAAAUGGAGCAGGCACACUUGAUGAAGCAGGCUGUGUCUGUGCAGAAGCAACCACUGGCACUGUUCCAAAAACAUUGCUGAGAACAAAUAUUGAAAGAGUUCAUUUUUUUUCUUA